This 525-nucleotide ribosomal RNA is filed under the name Triticum aestivum (bread wheat). RNAcentral describes it as "partial small subunit ribosomal RNA". The record is from RNAcentral. Lineage: Eukaryota; Viridiplantae; Streptophyta; Magnoliopsida; Poales; Poaceae.
AUGGAGAAGUGUCUUUAUGCAGGUGGGAGAAAGGUGUUGAUUAAGUCAGUUGUGCAAUCUAUACCAACAUAUUCCCUGGCAUGUUUCAAGCUACCAAGAGGUCUGUGCAGGCACAUUAACGGUCUCUUGCGGAAAUUUUGGUGGGGCAGCAAAAGGGGCGACUGGAAGACUGCCUGGGUCUCGUGGAAGACCAUGUGCAAGCCCAANNNNNNNNNNNNNNNNNNNNNNNNNNACAUUGAACGUUUUAACUUUACUUUGUUAGCUCGCCAGGCUUUGAGGCUAUUGCAGGACCCAAAAUCUCUCAGCGCUCACGUUCUGAAGGCAAGAUAUUAUCCACAAUGUGAUAUUCUUAGUGCGACGUUGGGCGACCAUCCAUCUUAGGUAUGGCGGUCAAUCAAGGAGGGCAAGGAGAUUUUGUCGUUGGGAUUGAUCAAGCGAGUUGGUUCAGGCAACAAAACUAGCAUCUGGCAAGAUAAAUGGUUGUCGCGUGACUAUGAGCUACAUCUAAUUUGUGUGAGGUACUAA